This 919-nucleotide ribosomal RNA is filed under the name uncultured archaeon. RNAcentral describes it as "bacterial SSU rRNA". It matches the Rfam family "Archaeal small subunit ribosomal RNA", at positions 1 to 922 of the family's 1478-position model. The record is from RNAcentral.
UUCCGGUUGAUCCCGCCGGAGGUCAUUGCUAUCGGGGUUCGAUUUAGCCAUGCUAGUCGUGCGGGUUUAGACCCGCGGCGUAUAGCUCAGUAACACGUGGCCAAACUACCCACCAGACAGGAACAACCUCGGGAAACUGAGGCUAAGACCUGAUACGCGCCGACUGUUUGAACACGUCGGCGCCUAGACGCUCCGGCGCUGGUGGAUGUGGCUGCGGCCGAUUAGGUAGACGGUGGGGUAACGGCCCACCGUGCCGAUAAUCGGUACGGGUUGUGAGAGCAAGAGCCCGGAGACGGAAUCUGAGACAAGAUUCCGGGCCCUACGGGGCGCAGCAGGCGCGAAACCUUUACACUGCACGCCAGUGCGAUAAGGGAACCCCGAGUGAAAGGGCAUAUCGCCCUUUCUUUUCUGAACCGUAGGGAGGUUCAGGAACAAGAGCUGGGCAAGACCGGUGCCAGCCGCCGCGGUAAUACCGGCAGCUCGAGUGAUGACCGAUUUUAUUGGGCCUAAAGCGUCCGUAGCUGGCCAUGCAAGUCCAUCGGGAAAUCCACCCGCUUAACGGGUGGGCGUCCGGUGGAAACUGCACGGCUUGGGACAGGAAGGCUCGAGGGGUACGUUCGGGGUAGGAGUGAAAUCCUGUAAUCCUGAACGGACCACCGAUGGCGAAAGCACCUCGAGAGGACUGAUCCGACAGUGAGGGACGAAAGCUGGGGUCUCGAACCGGAUUAGAUACCCGGGUAGUCCCAGCUGUAAACGAUGUUCGCUAGGUGUGUCACUCACUACGAGUGAGUGAUGUGCCGCAGGGAAGCCGCUAAGCGAACCGCCUGGGAAGUACGUCUGCAAGGAUGAAACUUAAAGGAAUUGGCGGGGGAGCACUACAACCGGAGGAGCCUGCGGUUUAAUUGGACUCAACGCCGGG